RNAcentral lists this transfer RNA (83 nucleotides) under Fibrobacter sp. RNAcentral's name for it is "tRNA-Tyr". It matches the Rfam family "tRNA". Rfam says of the family: Transfer RNA (tRNA) molecules are approximately 80 nucleotides in length. Their secondary structure includes four short double-helical elements and three loops (D, anti-codon, and T loops). Lineage: Bacteria; Pseudomonadati; Fibrobacterota; Fibrobacteria; Fibrobacterales; Fibrobacteraceae. The record is from RNAcentral.
GGGUAGGUGCCCGAGUGGUUAAAGGGGAUGGACUGUAAAUCCAUUGGCUUCGGCCUACGGUGGUUCGAAACCACCCCUGCCCA